Molecule: ribosomal RNA, 328 nt
Filed under: uncultured eukaryote
Lineage: Eukaryota
Description: partial 18S ribosomal RNA
Rfam family: Eukaryotic small subunit ribosomal RNA
Source: RNAcentral
CCCUUAGAUGUUCUGGGCUGCACGCGCGCUGCACUGAAGCGUUCAACGAGUAUUCACCUUGCCCGGGAGGGUUGGGUAAUCUUUUGAAAACGCUUCGUGAUGGGGAUAGAUUAUUGCAAUUAUUAAUCUUCAACGAGGAAUUCCUAGUAAGCGCGAGUCAUCAGCUCGUGCUGAUUACGUCCCUGCCCUUUGUACACACCGCCCGUCGCUCCUACCGAUUGAAUGGUCCGGUGAAGCGUUCGGACCGUGGCCUUUGGACGGUUCGCCGUCUGUUGGCUGCGGGAAGUUCGUUAAACCUUAUCAUUUAGAGGAAGGAGAAGUCGUAACA